RNAcentral lists this ribosomal RNA (373 nucleotides) under uncultured organism. RNAcentral describes it as "bacterial SSU rRNA". It matches the Rfam family "Bacterial small subunit ribosomal RNA", at positions 526 to 896 of the family's 1533-position model. The record is from RNAcentral.
CGUAGGGUGCGAGCGUUAAUCGGAAUUACUGGGCGUAAAGCGUGCGCAGGCGGUUUUGUAAGACAGGCGUGAAAUCCCCGGGCUCAACCUGGGAACUGCGCUUGUGACUGCAAGGCUAGAGUACGGCAGAGGGGGGUGGAAUUCCACGUGUAGCAGUGAAAUGCGUAGAGAUGUGGAGGAACACCAAUGGCGAAGGCAGCCCCCUGGGUCGAUACUGACGCUCAUGCACGAAAGCGUGGGUAGCAAACAGGAUUAGAUACCCUGGUAGUCCACGCCCUAAACGAUGUCAACUAGGUGUUGGGUGGGUAAAACCAUUUAGUACCGGAGCUAACGCGUGAAGUUGACCGCCUGGGGGAGUACGGCCGCAAGGUUA